CCUACGGGUGGCAGCAGUGAGGAAUAUUGGUCAAUGGACGGAAGUCUGAACCAGCCAUGCCGCGUGCAGGACGACGGCUCUAUGAGUUGUAAACUUCUUUUGUACAAGGGUAAACCUGAGUACGUGUAUUCAGCUGAAAGUACUUGACGAAUAAGGAUCGGCUAACUCCGUGCCAGCAGCCGCGGUAAUACGGAGGAUCCAAGCGUUAUCCGGAUUUAUUGGGUUUAAAGGGUGCGUAGGCGGAUUGUUAAGUUAGCGGUGAAAUGUCCGAGCUUAACCCGGGCACUGCCUUUAAUACUGGUGAUCUAGAGAGGAGAUGCGGUAGGCGGAAUGUAUGGUGUAGCGGUGAAAUGCUUAGAGAU
This 362-nucleotide ribosomal RNA is filed under the name uncultured bacterium. RNAcentral's name for it is "partial 16S ribosomal RNA". It matches the Rfam family "Bacterial small subunit ribosomal RNA", at positions 338 to 697 of the family's 1533-position model. The record is from RNAcentral.